AGCCGUUGGCUGCUCCGAACCGUUUGGCUCCUUCCCUUAGUAACAGCUUUUACCUUCUGCCUCAAUUCCUCUUCCAUCUAAAUCACACACACACACAGAGAUUACUGCCCUCCCCCCUCGGGACUUCAUCUCUCCUCCCUUCCCCCCCGGCUUGGGAUACCAUUGACUAUCACAGCACCCUUGGGGGGCUAUUGAUCCCCCCCCUUUUUCUAUUUUGUUUUUGUUUUUUUGCUUGGAGUGGGCACCUCAGCUGAGAGGGAGCGUGUAUGUGUCCCUAGCUGUGUAAAGAGGAGGAAGCCCAGGGUGCAUUUCUUUUGCCUCCAUUGCAAAGGAAAAGGGGGGAGGGCAAAAGCAGCCACUCAGCCAUCAGCUACCAGCAUCAUCUUCCUGUGACUGGAGGCAGCAGACAGGAGAACUUCCCUACAUCAAUGCACUGCCAAUGGUGGUGUAAUACCAAGGGCUGCACUGCUGCCACAUCACAAUUUUGUGAGGUUUCAGAGAGUAGUUCUGGCACUGCUCAUCCAAGUAACCCAGAAAUUCCCGGCCCUGCUGCUCCAGAAACUACCACUACCAGCUCUUUUGUCCUAGGUACCCUCAUAUGCACCCGCCCUGGAAAUUCCCAACAGCAGCAGACCUCCCCCUAA
RNAcentral lists this long non-coding RNA (644 nucleotides) under Gopherus evgoodei (Goodes thornscrub tortoise). Its description in RNAcentral is "lncRNA (ENSGEVG00005008162.1)". Lineage: Eukaryota; Metazoa; Chordata; Testudines; Testudinidae. The record is from RNAcentral.